UUAAUGGAGAGUUUGAUCCUGGCUCAGGACGAACGCUGGCGGCGUGCCUAAUACAUGCAAGUCGAGCGGAUCUUUAAAGGUGCUUGCACCUUUAAAGAUUAGCGGCGGACGGGUGAGUAACACGUAGGCAACCUGCCUGUAAGACUGGGAUAACAUCCGGAAACGGAUGCUAAUACCGGAUACGCGGUUCCCCCGCAUGAGGGGACCGGGAAAGACGGCGCAAGCUGUCACUUACAGAUGGGCCUGCGGCGCAUUAGCUAGUUGGUGGGGUAACGGCCUACCAAGGCGACGAUGCGUAGCCGACCUGAGAGGGUGAUCGGCCACACUGGG
Molecule: ribosomal RNA, 330 nt
Filed under: Paenibacillus sambharensis
Lineage: Bacteria; Bacillati; Bacillota; Bacilli; Caryophanales; Paenibacillaceae
Description: Bacterial small subunit ribosomal RNA
Rfam family: Bacterial small subunit ribosomal RNA
Source: Rfam by way of RNAcentral